GCGUGAGUGGUGUAACGGUAACAUGUGGUCUUCCCAUUUGAAGGUCUUCGCAUUCAUUUGGCUACGCCCCGGGUUCGACUCCCGGCUCACGCA
Non-coding RNA from Mycena floridula, 93 nucleotides. Lineage: Eukaryota; Fungi; Basidiomycota; Agaricomycetes; Agaricales; Mycenaceae. The record is from the annotation of a GenBank genome assembly.